This 27-nucleotide non-coding RNA is filed under the name Bombyx mori (domestic silkworm). The record is from RNAcentral. Lineage: Eukaryota; Metazoa; Arthropoda; Insecta; Lepidoptera; Bombycidae.
UAGUUCGUUGGUCCUUAAUGCAUAAGC